UACGUGAGUAACCUGCCCUCGACUCUGGGAUAAGCCUGGGAAACCGGGUCUAAUACUGGAUACUACCUCUCACCGCAUGGUGGGUGGUGGAAAGGGUUUACUGGUUUUGGAUGGGCUCACGGCCUAUCAGCUUGUUGGUGGGGUAAUGGCUCACCAAGGCGACGACGGGUAGCCGGCCUGAGAGGGUGACCGGCCACACUGGGACUGAGACACGGCCCAGACUCCUACGGGAGGCAGCAGUGGGGAAUAUUGCACAAUGGGCGGAAGCCUGAUGCAGCGACGCCGCGUGAGGGAUGACGGCCUUCGGGUUGUAAACCUCUUUCAGUAGGGAAGAAGCGAAAGUGACGGUACCUGCAGAAGAAGCGCCGGCUAACUACGUGCCAGCAGCCGCGGUAAUACGUAGGGCGCAAGCGUUGUCCGGAAUUAUUGGGCGUAAAGAGCUCGUAGGCGGUCUGUCGCGUCUGCUGUGAAAGCCCGGGGCUCAACCCCGGGUCUGCAGUGGGUACGGGCAGACUAGAGUGCAGUAGGGGAGACUGGAAUUCCUGGUGUAGCGGUGAAAUGCGCAGAUAUCAGGAGGAACACCGAUGGCGAAGGCAGGUCUCUGGGCUGUUACUGACGCUGAGGAGCGAAAGCAU
Molecule: ribosomal RNA, 635 nt
Filed under: Kocuria sp. NEAU-ST5-23
Lineage: Bacteria; Bacillati; Actinomycetota; Actinomycetes; Micrococcales; Micrococcaceae
Description: bacterial SSU rRNA
Rfam family: Bacterial small subunit ribosomal RNA
Source: RNAcentral